This 468-nucleotide ribosomal RNA is filed under the name uncultured bacterium. RNAcentral describes it as "partial 16S ribosomal RNA". It matches the Rfam family "Bacterial small subunit ribosomal RNA", at positions 28 to 507 of the family's 1533-position model. The record is from RNAcentral.
GACGAACGCUGGCGGCGUGCUUAACACAUGCAAGUCGAACGGACAGGCGCUGCUCUUGCUGGUUGCUCGAGUGGCGCAAGGGUGAGUAUAACGCGAGUAAACUGCCCCUGUCUUUGGGAUAACUUUGGGAAACUGGGGCUCAUAUCGGUUAUGAGCUCUUGAUCCACGGUGGGGGUUGGUAAGAUUCGGCGGUUGGGGAUGGACUCGCGGCUUACCAGCUUGUUGGUGGGGUAGUGGCUUACCAAGGCUUUGACGGGUAGGCCGCCUGGGAGGGUGACCGGCCACAUUGGGACUGAGGUACGGCCCAGUAGCCUACGGGAGGCAGCAGUGGGGAGCAUUGCGCAAUGGGCGGAAGCCUGAUGCAGCAACGCCCCGUGCGGGAUGACGUCCUUCGAGUUAUAAACCGCUUUCGCCUGUGACGAAGCGUGAGUGACGGUAAUGGGUAAAGAAGCACCGGCUAACUACGUG